Non-coding RNA from Paramuricea clavata, 304 nucleotides. The record is from the annotation of a GenBank genome assembly. NCBI's taxonomy places the organism in Eukaryota, Metazoa, Cnidaria, Anthozoa, Malacalcyonacea, Plexauridae.
CUGAUCUCUGGAUGUGAUACUGAAGCUGAGGCUAUCAAUUACUACGAUGAGGCAAGAUCUAUCAUGAGUCAAGGAAACUUUAACUUACGUUCUUGGUCGAGCAACAGUCCAUUGCUCCAAGCACGCGCAGCAGAUGACUCUACCGACGAGAAAUCCGAGAGUGUCAACAUUCUUGGUCUUCAAUGGAAACCCACGACUGACAAGCUUACCUUAGUAGAGAACAGUGGUAGUUUCAACCCAAACGCACCAACAACGAAACGCAAGAUCCUGCAACUAUCCUCAAAGGUUUAUGAUCCGCUUGGCC